CAGAUUACAGGCCACAGAUGGAGAUUUUCAAAAACAAAAUAUCAUGCAGGAAUCUUUGCUUUGGUGAAUUUCUGGAGUCACUGCGAACCUAAAGAAGGCAGUGGGUUUGUGAAGAAGAACGAUGCCAACAAGAUGUUUUUCCAUUGGCCGUUAAUUGUUUGGACAGGUUUCUUUCUGUUGUGAAAAUUCGAAAAAGUCAGCUACAACUUGUCGGUGCGGUUUGUUUGUUUUUGUCGUCGAAGGUACGUCAAACCAGACCUAUCUUAGCAGAGAAACUUUGUGCUUACACGGACCACUCCGUCACACUGGAAGAACUUCUGAACUGGGAGCUCCUCGUUCUCAGGAGGCUCAAGUGGGAUAUUUCAGCUGUCACCCCAAAUGAUUUCAUAGAACCAAUCCUCCAAAGGCUUCCUCUUGCUAGGGGAAUAGAUGUGGCAAGAAACCAUGCUGAAACUUUUAUUGCUUUUUGUUCUAUAGACUUCAAUUUUUCCUUCUAUCCUCCAUCAAUGGUUGCCGCAGCCUCAGUGGGGGCCGCUGUGCAAGGCUUGCUUUGGCUUGGUGAACAAUGGUCUUCUCAGAAACUGUUGACCAGGCUGCAUCAGAUCUUAGGCAUCGAAGUGGAUUGUCUUCGCCAUUGUUUGGAACAAAUUGAAGGAAUGGUGGCGAUCCCAUCGGAGAAACAUUCAAACAAUCUAGUGACUAUGAAGAGUACGAACAGGGAAAGUACCAAACCACUUACUCCAACUGAUGUCCAAGAUGUCCAUUUCUAAGACUGAUUCUAUUGUAACUGCCAUCUUUCAUAGACUUAUAUGUUUUAA
RNAcentral lists this unclassified non-coding RNA (818 nucleotides) under Limulus polyphemus (Atlantic horseshoe crab). RNAcentral's name for it is "g1/S-specific cyclin-D2-like, transcript variant X2". Lineage: Eukaryota; Metazoa; Arthropoda; Merostomata; Xiphosura; Limulidae. The record is from RNAcentral.